AUCUUUCUAGUAUAAAGCAGUAUACGUGACUUCCAAUCACCCGGCCCUGGUUCAACCCCAGGGAAAGAUA
RNAcentral lists this transfer RNA (70 nucleotides) under Chlorophthalmus nigromarginatus. Its description in RNAcentral is "tRNA-Gly". It matches the Rfam family "tRNA". From Rfam's summary of the family: Transfer RNA (tRNA) molecules are approximately 80 nucleotides in length. Their secondary structure includes four short double-helical elements and three loops (D, anti-codon, and T loops). The record is from RNAcentral. Lineage: Eukaryota; Metazoa; Chordata; Actinopteri; Aulopiformes; Chlorophthalmidae.